This is a long non-coding RNA of Sinocyclocheilus rhinocerous, 325 nucleotides long. RefSeq lists it as uncharacterized. NCBI's taxonomy places the organism in Eukaryota, Metazoa, Chordata, Actinopteri, Cypriniformes, Cyprinidae. The record is from RefSeq and is a predicted model, not a curated record. The transcript is spliced from 3 exons.
ACUCUCUCUCUCUCUCUCUGUCUCUCUCUCUCUCGCUCUCUAGGGGUCGGUGAGAUCCUGACAGAUCCAUCAGUCAUUAAGAGCGGAGAGAAAGGGUCUUAUGAUAUGAUCUUUGGCCCCGCGAAUCUUGGAGACGAUGCCAUUCGAAACUUCCGCUCCAAGCAUCACUGUAACUCGUGCUGCAGAAAACUCAAACUUCCCGAUCUGAAGCAGAACGACUACACUCCUGAUAAACUGAUGCCCUCUGAGGGACCGUCCCAUUCACCGCCUGCAGGGGGCGCCGCUAGAGAACAGCAUCCCUCAAUGCGCUUAAUGCUGUGAGCCA